CACACACACCAUCCUUCUCAUAACUCAGCAUUUCCAACAAAACAGACUGGUUUAUAAUAGAGUGUCGAUGGUGGUGGUGUUUUAACUCUAGAUGUUUUGUGGAGGCACAAAGGUGCCUGUGGUCAGAAAGAUCUUUCCCAUUUUGAUUAGUACCUUCAAACUGCCACUGCUUAUGUUCUUAUUGAAAUUUCCCAAAGCGCCAAAGUAGAAAAAUCUCUACAAGAGUGAAACUGUAUCCAAAUUAUUUCAUCUCCGACUUUGUCUUAUUCCUAAAUUUAUUCUACAGAAGCAAAUAUUCGGCAAUUUAACGGGAUAUAAUUCAAUCUAAAAUAUAGUACUUGAAAUUUAACGUUACCAAUAACAAAAUCAGUAUGUUUUUGAUACUCUAACACUGCUAAAUAUCCUACAGUAAAAUGCACUUAGAAGAGAAAAAAAAAUAAAGUCCUCUUUUCCUGAUUAUUGCAAGGUUAGAAUAAAAAUCACUUAAAUAUAAAUACUGGAGGGAAAUGUUGUUUGUAGUAAAUAAUGUAAGUGCACUCAUGCUGCAGACAAACAUCGCUCUGAAAUCUGCCCAGUUAACAACAGAGUUCAGAGCCUCGAUGCACACUUACACACCCUCCUUGUUAAAAUGCUGGAAAUCAAUUCCCUGCCCAAGAGGCAUUCAUGGUCCCAUAUUUAAAAUCAUGCAGCUUCACAAGGGGAACACUUAGAUCACCUGCAGAUGCUGUCAUGCAAAUUUAGCCUAUUAUUGAGCAUUUGUAGUUUAUGGACAAAAGAUCAGUAAAUUCAGUGGGUUACGCUGCUUAAGAAGGAUUAGGUUAUGAGACUAUAAAUGAGGUAGAAUUUUUACUACCUGGAAAUAGGGGAGAUAAAUUCAAGGUUUGUAGCUUACAAAUAUGUUGUAUUUAUAGUUAAGGGCGGCACAAUAGAAACUGAUGCCUACCGCUACCCGCCCACAAAUCUAUAACCAUAGCAUGUUAACAGGUUUGAACUAACGAAGGUUCAAAUAGAACGCAAUUUUCCUGGUUAACGCAUUUCAAAAGUAAGGGUGGUAACAAGCACCCAACAAGGAAAAGGAAAGGAGUUUUGCUAUUGUUGAUGGGUACCGUCUGAGACUUGAAUUCAGAGUAAGUCUAAAAUUCUAAUAUCGAAUUCUUCAGGCGAACACUACAUCCAGAUAUUUAACACUACACAUGUCAUCGUCACACAUGUGGAAUUGAUGCUACUAAAAUCAUGCUUGUGACCAGCCCAAUACCACAGUGGGAGUAAUGAACUUGCACCGUACGUUGUACAGUAUCACUUACUAACUGCAAUAAUAAUGAAAUUGCUUUUUAGUGGAAUGUGUCAAAGCUAAGUCAUUUCAUCUAAUAACCUAUUUUACUCAACUAUACAGUCUUCAAAUCUUGACCAUCUACAGUUAAGCACUGCUGGAAAUUCAAUAUGUAAAUAUAAUAGAUUAGCUCUAAGUGAUAAUGUAAAGUCACCUUCAAAUACAGCAUAAUCAAAUGCCAAAGUACUAUUACACUUUUAUAAUAAUUGAUAUAAUGGCAACAGGUUCUAUCUCACAAAGCCUACCCAUUUGGUGUCAUCAACAUGUGCAGAGUGAAAAUUACUACCAACGUUAGGUCCAUCUUUCAUCAGUAGUGCCUGGAACAGUAGAUGGUCCUUAAAUACUUGAUAUCUAUCUGACUGUUAACUGACAUUUUAGUGAGCUACUGUAAAACAAAUUACCCAAAUCUUUAAGAUACAUAUUAUUCCGAUGAGUUCUAUCAACAGAUACUGAGUUGAAAGAGCCUACUGGCAUCUCAAGUCUUCACUCCAGGUUAGGCACUGAAAGGCAAGUCAUCAGAAAGCUGUAUCCACAAGGUUACUACGUACACUUAGCACAUUAGUGGACCACAGUUGGCAGCAUUCAGACCUAAUCAGACAGUAUGUUAACCAAUGCUGCUGAGCAAUUAAUUUUGUUUGUGAGCUGGAAAUAAUUUAGAAUCAUUUUCAGAUUCUUUUCAUCUUGGCUGCCGUGAUUAAACAUACCAAAGAGCAAUGCAAAAUCAAAUUCCACAGGAUUUAUUAAGCAUUACCAUUAAAUACAAAGCACUGGCCUGGACCUUUCCACAUAAAUUAGUGAUUCUGAAGGCCAACCAGGUUUGGAAAACAACCUGCCACUGUUAGCCGAAGCUGUGCCUAGCUAGUGAUAUCAUUCCAGUGACAGACAACCUGAAAAAAGGCCACGCGUUUCAACUUUGAAGAGCUCUAGUUGCAAAUUCUUCCAUAAGCAGCCAAAAUCUGUACUCUAAGAAUGUCUACCCCUUCGACCUUUUUACAUCUUCCCAACAUGCCCUCUUGCUCUCCUAUAUAGAGAGCACAGCUCUUCACCAACAUGAAAACAGUUAUCAUUUCUCCAGUUCCAUCGAUUUAAAGUUGUCCACCCAUCAUCAAUCUUUCUGAUAGCAUCCCAUCUUUUAUCCUCCACAAAAUUUACAACUAAUGUAUCAUUUGUGUGUUCACUUUUUAUAGCCUGUGCUCUCUACUAGGACUCUUUCCAUGAGUUCAAGGAUCGUGGCCAUUUUGUGCAUCAUUGCACAGCCAGCACAUAAAACGUAGCAGGUACUCAAUAAAUAUUUGAUGGAUGAAUAAAUUAAAGAAUAAAUAAGUGAUCUGGAGGGGCAGAAGCCCAGAGUCAACUGGAUUGGACCACCACAGCUUAUUUUUAGAGAGAGAAUCACAGAAGGGUAGGAGUUGCUGUUUUAGCUGGUCUCCUGCAUAGUAGAAACUCUCAGCAAAAGAUAUUUAAAUGAAUUUUUAAGUAAAUAAUUUUUUCAGUGAUAAAGAUCGGCAGCAUUUGUUUAUUCUGUACAUUUGUUCUUCUACAAACAAGGCACUAGACCCUGGUUAUACAGUGGUAAACAGAAUAGAUACAGUUCUUGCCCUCAUGGUGUGAUAAUGAAAUUUAAGGGGUUACUAUAUAGAGAAGCAAGAGGGAAUACUGAUCGCAAGGGAAUUGCAUUAAGUUCACAUCCUCACAUAGAUCUAGCAGUGGAACAUCAAUCCCAAUAAUCAGAUAAUAACCGCAACAAGGGAAAAAAGGAAGGUAGUAGGCCUCAAUUUAAACCAAUAAAUUAUGGAGUUAUAAAACUGAAACACAGGCAGACAAACUUGUAGAGACAGAAGGCAGAAUGGUGGUCGCCAGGGGCUCAAAGGAGAGAGAAUGGGGAGUCCCUGUGUAAUGGACCCUCAAUUUGAGUCUGGGAGGAUGAAAGAGUUCUGGAGAUGGAUGGUGGUGACAGUCACACAACAAUGUGAGUGCUCUUAAUGCUGAUGAAUCAUACACUUAAAAAGGAUUAAAAUGGUAAAUUUUGGGUUAUGUAUAUUUUACCAUAAUAAAAAGAAAACUAGAGGGGAAAAAAACCUGAGUCACACAAGGCACCCCCAAGAACAAAACUGCUGGUCCUGACUUUGUUGUUGAGUUCCUCACGCACAGCAUGGAGAUCCCCCACCAGCAGCAGGAUCUUCAAGGAAAGACAGACAACUAUAUUUGACAAAUGAGGCAUCAUUCAGUGACUAGCAAGGGACCUCAAGGACGCUGACAGCUCAUUUUUUACUCAAAUUCCCUUUCAGGAAAGUUCUCUAGGGUUAUAAGACUCAAUGACUUUUUUUUAAUUCUCUUACCUCCAAAAACACAAAGACAUUUUUACCCCUCGAGUGAAAAAGGCUCUCUUUGAAAAUCCCAGGGCACGACCACCAGAAGGGACUUCAGAAUGAAACAGAAAUACUGGCAGAGCUAAUUGGAAAAAUGUUAAUUCUGCCUGUACACAGACCCAGCCCCUUCUUUACACAGGCACAAAGGAAACAAAAUCUAAAAUCAAGAUGCAGGGAGUAGAAUAGUAGGGGAGGGAGGGCCUUUAAAAUAUUAGGUAUGAGGCACACUAUACCAACAUUCCUCUGAGUCCUACCCAGACUCGCAAGACCUACCAAUCAUUCUUCUGGAAACCAAGACUAGAAACAGUAUCCCUGCCAAGUCAGUCAAGUUGCCAACAUUUAUGACCGUGGGUACAGGAUACUAGUAGAUGAUACAAAAGAAAAAGUCUCAUCCUUUGCCCUUCUGGAGCUCAUAAUGAGAAGGAUAAUUAUUGCACCAAAUAUUUUGCCCAUGGCAUUGGAACACAGUGAUGAAAAAGGCACAGGCUCUGAAAUGAAACAAUGGAUCAGGGAUGUAAUCCCAACUCUCCAACUUUAUAGCUACAUGACCUUAAUAGUACUAGCUAAAUUACUUAAAGCUUCCCAUGCAGCAGGACGUUUGGUCUACAAUCCAACCCAGUUAAUCCUCACAAACCCAAUGAAGUAAAUAUUAUUAUUAUUUUACACAUAAAUUCAAGUUAAUUUCCCUGAGCCUCAGCUUCCUGGAGGGAUUAAUGCUUACCUCGUACCACUGUUUUGAAAGUUAAGCAAGUUAAUGUGUAAAAUAUAAGAUACUAGGUUCUCAGUGAAUGAAUGCUGAGACCAUCAUUUAAUUAUUUUAUGCCUAUAGAAAUAGCACACAUUUGAAAAGUUAUUCUAGGAGGGCAAUUUAGAGAUCACCUCUUUUGCAUACAUACUGUCUGAACUGUUUAUAAAUACGAUUUAAUUCAGCAAAUGUAUAUACAAGACACUGUACCAGGCACUGCUAAAUACACAAAGCUACGGGACACAAUUCCUAUCACGAAGGGGUCUGGAUUCCAGAGAAUUUGUAAGAAAAUAAAUUCUAGCUUAAAAUUAAGUCAGGUAUCCAAAGGCCUAAGGAUGGGGGCUUAGCGUGAAAUAUCCCUAUUCUGGAGUAUAAUCUGUUAACAUUCUGCAUCAUUGUUUUCUCCUAUAACCGCAAGAAAACUUUUUUCCCCCAUGUAAUGACUUCCGACAAGUUAAAUACCAGGUAAGUUCACCUGAGCAUAGUUGCUCUUGUUUUUCACAUUAACAUGGCACAUAUUUUAGAAACACCUGGACCAACUGAAUACGUGCUGAUUUCCAAUCAUUAGUAUGCAAUCCUCUUAAAAAAAAAAAAAAAAGGUGAGCAGCCAACGUUCAGACAUUCUGUUUAUAAUGACAACCUAAAUUAUCAUUGAAACUCACUAUGAUCUGUUAUAAUUAUCAGAACGAAUGAAAAUAAAUGCCCAACAAUGGAAAAGCUUGUUAUUCGUUGCACAUGAUGAUGUGCCUUCAAUUCCUAGAGAGAUUUCCCAAGAUAUUUAUGGUGAAAUACACCCAGAACACUGAUCUCAAUUGGAAAUCUUAUAGUUUGGGAGAAUGCAGGAAAUUUCCCCAGGGAACUAGGAGAUCUAUGAUAUAAGGUCCUGAGUAUUCCCACAGUAAAUAAGGACUGAGCAUGUAUAAAAUGUUUGAGAUAAUUUAUAAUAACAGAACACCUGACAUGGUAAUUAAUGUACAUUACAAAAUGUUUCCCAUCUCAUUCAGCUAAAUUCCACAAAAGUAAAGUUUUGAAACCUAUUAACUUGCUGAAAUAACAUAAUCAUGAACCAAAAUCCAUUACAUUUGACCACAAAAUCCCCAGUACUAUCACUGUCCUUUGUGUUUCCAGAGAACAAGAGCAAUACACAUAUGUGGUUAGAUGAUAUCAAUAUUUAUUCACACAAAUGUCUUUAAGCAAAGGCUUAAAGACAGCCUUUUUUUUUAAAUAUCUAGAGAUUUCAGUACAACUAAACUUGAAAUCAAGUUAUAAAAUUGAUGUUGAAAAAAAAAUAAAAAAUAAAAAAUAAAAUAAAAUUGAUGCUAUAUGCCAUACAUAAUGCUUUCAACCAAGUUUCCAAUUUUUUCAAUGCCUUGUUAAUACCUACAAUUAUAUUCCAUUUUAAUUGUAUUCAUUUCAAUGUUAAACACCGAGGUCACCUGACAAUAAUUACUAAAAGUUAGUCUCAUCAUUGUAGAUUAAGCCAAUGCCAGUCUCAGUAGGAUACUGGGAAUUCACAUUUAUAUGAAAAAGCUUCAUGUUAUUAAGUUGUUAAUAAAUGCCCACCAAUGCCAAGUUCUACACUGGCACAAGGCAUGUGACUUCAAAACGUGUUGGGAAAAGCAACACACACAAAGGUAAGAGGUGAAAUACAAUGUGGACAGUGCUACCCUAGAGAUAUAUAAAAGCCCCGCAGAAACAGAGGGAUGGUGCCCUCACCAAGUCCCCAUCCCCUCUUUUCUAUCUGGAGAAGAGCUGAAUCAUGAAGGACAAAUAAUAGUUCUGUGAGAAAAAAAUUAAAACAAACCAACAAUAGGAAAGCACAUUCCGUAUAGAGAAAGAGACAAGACACAUGGCCUAGCGGUAGGAAUGCGCAUGGUGCUCCAGAGAAUGUCAAUUCGUAAUGUGAGUUGCAGCAUAGAGGGUACUGGGAAGGGGCCAUGAGGUGCCAUCAGAUGAGUAAGAGGACAGUAAUUACCAAACCAGACUGUGAAGUUUCUUCCAUGCCACGCUAUGCAGUUUAGCCUCUAUAAUACAGGCAACAGGUGGUCAUGUAAAUUUCCUCCUUGUUUUUCCCUUGAAAACAAUUUCAAUGAAAAUAUACCCCUUUACUCAUUUACUCAAAGGUAUGGGCUAAGCACCAUUUCUAUGCCAGGCAUUUUGCUAGACCAGGGAUCAGCAAAUACCAUACAGGUCAAAUUUUUCUUGCUGCCUGUUAUUGUAGAACCCAGAGACUAAGAAUAAUUUUUACAUUUUUAAAUGGGUGAAAAAAAUUAAAAGAAUACCAUCUCAUGAUACACGAAAAUUACAUGAAAUUCAAAUUCUAAAAAUUCAAAUCCGAAUCCAUAGAGUUUUGCUGGAACACAGUCACGUUCGUUCCUUUGCAUAUUGUCUAUGGCUGCUCUUGUGCUACAACGACAGAACCGAGUAGUUGCGUCAGUGACAGUACAGCCCACAAAACCGAAAGCAUUUACCUAAAUUAGAAAAAGUUUGCUGAUUCCUGUGCUAGACAACAGCAAACAAAAUAAAGUCUAAUUGUGGACUUCCUUUCCUGAGCAAGGAAGCAGACCCAUACAAUUUAGUAUAAUAAGUACUGGGAGACAAAUAACGCCAGAAUAUUGUAAGGACACACAAUUGGGACACAUAACCCAAAUUGUGGCAAAGGACUGUGGUUAAGGAAAAGCCAAUGAAAUUGGAUUAGAUGAAAUUAAAAGAUCAAAUCACAAGGAGCCUUACAUAUCAUGCUAAAGACUUCACAUUUCAUUUUGAAGGCAAUGGCAGGCCUCUGUGGGAUUUUAAAGAAGGCCUAUGACAUGAUCAGUCUUAUAUUUUAAAACAGCCAUCCUGAUGGCAACGUAUCUAAUUGUACUUAAUGCUUUCUUCUAGUAAAGCAAACACAACACCGAGAGGUAAGGAAUAUUGACUCCAGGAAGAACCGAGAAACAUUCUCAUCAGGCAACCAUCAUUUGUAUUCAUUUUCUCUCUCUUAAUAAAAAUAAUAGCAAGAGUAGCUACUACUAAAAAAAAAAUAAAUAAAUAAAAUAAAAUAAAAGAGUAGCUACUACUUACUGUUACUAUGUAUUCAGCACACCUAAAGUGCUCUAGAAAUAUUAACUCAUUCAAUCCUCACUCAUAUGACCUGUGCAAGCAAUUCUCAUUGAGCUGGAUACAUAAAACAAUAUGAUCAUAUUUAACUGUUUUCUGAAUGAAAUCAUUUAUAGGGUUCAAACCACAUCUGUUUUCUGUCACUGGCUAAGUAUGUUCAACACUUGUAGCAUAACUAACUCCCUUUGUGAAGCUAGACAGACAAGUAGUUGACUAAUCAACCCAUCACCUACUACAACUAUGUACUAAGUAGCUAACACGCAUCAGGAAAGGUGCUGAGGAGAAGGUGGCAUAGUUCCCAUCCCCAAGGUUUCAACCACUCAACGAGGAAAAUAAUCACCACCAACCUCAGACUUGAAACACACCGUUCACGCCAUCAACCCAGGAUUGUGCUGUCAAACACACCUAAUCCUUGAAAUGCUCCGUAUUUCAGUUACCUGCUGAGUAACUUUGUGGGUGGGUGUUUCAGUAAAGUGGGAGAAAAAAAAAAAAAAAAAAAAAAAAAAA
RNAcentral lists this long non-coding RNA (8053 nucleotides) under Canis lupus familiaris (dog). Its description in RNAcentral is "lncRNA (ENSCAFG00845007827.1)". Lineage: Eukaryota; Metazoa; Chordata; Mammalia; Carnivora; Canidae. The record is from RNAcentral.